RNAcentral lists this ribosomal RNA (359 nucleotides) under Choriorhabditis cristata. RNAcentral's name for it is "SSU rRNA". It matches the Rfam family "Eukaryotic small subunit ribosomal RNA", at positions 279 to 643 of the family's 1831-position model. The record is from RNAcentral. Lineage: Eukaryota; Metazoa; Nematoda; Chromadorea; Rhabditida; Rhabditidae.
GUUUACCGAUGAUGUCCUCGAUCGGUGUCCGCCCUAUCAACCUGAUGGUAGUUUAUUAGACUACCAAGGUUAUAACGGGUAACGGAGAAUAAGGGUUCGACUCCGGAGAGGGAGCCUUAGAAACGGCUACCACAUCCAAGGAAGGCAGCAGGCGUGAAACUUAUCCACUGCAUAUAGUGAGAUAGUGACUAAACAUAAAAAGACCAUUCUUUUUAGAGUGGUUUUUUCAAUGAAUAGAGUUUAAAACACUCUAUGAGGAUCUAAUGGAGGGCAAGUCUGGUGCCAGCAGCCGCGGUAAUUCCAGCUCCAUUAAUAUAGAUCGUCAUUGCUGCGGUUAAAAAGCUCGUAGUUGGAUCUUA